Molecule: RNA transcript, 6865 nt
Organism: Heteronotia binoei (common prickly gecko)
Lineage: Eukaryota; Metazoa; Chordata; Lepidosauria; Squamata; Gekkonidae
Gene: MFHAS1
Gene name: multifunctional ROCO family signaling regulator 1
Exons: 4
Source: RefSeq, a predicted model, not a curated record
GGCGGCAGCACCAUGGCCGAGACGGAGCGUCCAGAAGAGGCGGCCCGGUUGUGGCGAGACGCCGCCCUGCGCGCCAGGAAGCUGGAGCUGGCCGCCCAGGAGGAGAGCGGCCCCGAGGCUGAGCCCAAAUCGCCGCCGGUCGCGCCGCUGGAGACGCUGAACCUGAGCGGACGCGGCCUGGAAGAGGUGCCCGAGGGGCUGUGCGCCGCGGUGGGCGGCAGCCUGCGCCGCCUCUCGGUGCGCCGCAACCGGCUGGCUCGGCUGCCCUCGGCCGCCGCCCUCCGCCACCUGGCCCACCUGGCCGAGCUCGACCUGAGCCACAACCGCCUGCGCUGCCUCCGCGACGACGGGCAGGCGCUGGCGCUCCUCCGCGGGCUUCGCAAGCUCAACCUCAGCCACAACCAGCUGGGCGCCGACGGAGGGGGGACGCUCCCUGCCGGCUUGGGCGAACUGCGGCAGCUGGAGGAGCUCGACUUGAGCUUCAACCGCCUGGGCCGCUUGCCCGAGCACCUGGCCGGCCUGCAGCAGCUCCGCGCCCUCGACGUGGACCACAACCAGCUGCCCGCCUUCCCCCCGGGGCUCCUGCAGCUGGGCGCCUUGGAGGAGCUCGACUGCUCGGGGAACCGGCUCCUGCGCGCCGUGCCCGAGGGCAUCGCUUCCUUGCAGCGCCUGAAGAUCCUCUGGCUUAGCGGCACGGGCCUGACCUCCCUGCCCGAGGGCUUGUGCCAGCUGGGCACCCUGGAGAACCUCAUGGUGGACAGCAACGGCCUGCGAGCCCUGCCGGCUGGCUUCGGCAACCUGCAGCGCCUCAAGAUGCUGAACCUCUCCUCCAACCUGCUGGCCGACUUCCCUGCCGCCGUGCUGGCCCUGCCCGGCUUGGAAGAGCUCUACCUGAGCCGCAACCAGCUGACCCUGCUGCCCAAAGACCUUUGCCAGCUCGGCCACCUCCGCACCCUCUGGCUGGACAACAAUCGCAUCCGCUACCUGCCGGACUCCAUCGUUCGGCUUUGCCACCUGGAGGAGCUGGUGCUGCAGGGCAACCAGAUCGCCAUCCUGCCCGAGGGCUUCGGGCAGCUCAGCCGCAUCAGCCUCUGGAAGAUCAAGGACAAUCCGCUGAUCCAGCCCCCUUAUGAGGUCUGCAUGAAGGGCAUCCCCUACAUCGCGGCCUACCAGCAAGAGCUGGCCCAUUCCCAGCCUGCCCUCAAGCCCCGGCUCAAGCUGGUCCUCAUGGGACUGAAAAACGCAGGCAAAACUCUGCUAAGAAAGUGCCUCAUGGAGGAGGAGGAGGAGGAGGAAGAAGAACUGGGACAGAGAGAUUCCUCUUUAACUGCAGCCCGCAAGGAUUUUGGGAAGACCCAACUGAAGGGAUGCUGCAUGCAGCCUCUAAGAGAGUUGUCCCGGCCUCGGUCCCCGAAACCACAGCCAAAUCAUCUCCCUAUCAUCGAGCAACCGGAGGCUUCGCCCCUGAAGUGUUCCCGUUUAGGAUAUAGCUCCAGCGAGCAGCAGGGUAUGCUCCUCAGCCUGUCCCCCAAAACUGCUAGGCCAACCCAGCUUGGACGUUCUGCCACUGAGCUGCAGGAUGUCGUCCCGCGGCCUCCACCCCCGAAAGCGAACGGGGAGAUGCGCUUAGGGUGUUACGCCCUGCCACAUGCCGCCAUGCUACCGGCUCCAGCUGCUGCAGGGUUGCUGGGCGGCAGCAGAGGCAUAGAGGUGACGGAUUGGACUGCUGACGUGGAGAGGAGCUUGACUUUUAUCGUGUACGAGCUGGCAGGUGACUGCAGCUACGACGUGAUCCAGCCUUUCUUCCUUUCUCCUGGAGCCCUCUAUGUACUAGUAGUGAACCUGAGCACCUACAUGCCGCAAUGUUUCUACCCCUCUGUGGGACACUUCCUUCACUGGCUAGGAGCAAAAGUGCCACAUGCCGUGGUGUGCAUGGUGGGCACCCAUGCAGACCUGUGUGCCGAGCGGGAGGUGGAGGAGAAGUGCUUAGACAUACACCGGCAGAUUGCCUGGCAGGAGAAACGGGACUAUGAAGGUCUCCAGAACUUGGCUCAGCAAGUUGACGAAGCCCUGGGGCAAGAUUUUGACCUGCGGUGCUCCAGCCCACAUGUCGCCUUCUACGGCGUGUCGGACAAGAACCUCCGGCGCAAGAAAGCUCAGUUCCAGUACCUGCUCAACCACCGGCUGCAAAUCCUCUCACCGGUCCUGCCGAUCGGCUGCUGGGAUUGCUGCCAGGUCCGUCGGUUGAGGGAGAAGCUCCUCUCCGUGGCUGAGCACAGAGACAUCUUCCCGAACCUGCACCGGGUUCUGCCUAGGUCCUGGCAGGUCUUGGAGGAGUUGCACUUCCAGCCGCAGGCUCGACAGCUGUGGCUCAGCUGGUGGGACUCUGCUCGGCUGGGCCUGCAGGCGGGGCUGACCGAGGACCGUCUCCAGAGCGCCCUUUCCUACUUGCACGAGAGCGGCAAGCUGCUGUACUUUGAGGAGCACCUGACUCUGCGCGAGUACGUUUUCCAUAACCUGCCUAGGCUCAUUGACAUCCUCAAUGUCUUCUGCCAACGGGAUGUGACCGUCUUGCUCCAGAAACUGCUCGGGAAUGGCCCUGCAGAUGAGCUGAAGGCCACACAGCUCCAUCACUAUGUGGAAGGGUUCUUGCUCCAUGGGCUCCUCCCCACUCAUGUUAUCCGGCUGCUCCUCAAACCCCAUGUCCAGAGCCGAGAGGACCUGCAGCUCAUCCUGGAGCUAUUAGAAAAGAUGGGACUCUGUUACUGUGUUAAUAAGCCCAAAUCCAAACCCCUGAACGGGGCCACUGCGUGGUACAAGUUCCCCUGCUACGUGAAGAACGAGAUGCCCCAUGCAGAGGCCUGGAUCAAUGGGACCAACUUGGGCGGACAGUCCUUUGUUGCCGAGCAGCUGCAGAUAGAGUACAGCUUCCCCUUCAUCUUUCCGCCUGGCCUGUUUGCCCGCUACAGCGUCCAGAUUAAUAGCCACGUGGUCCAGAGAUCUGAUGGGAAAUAUCAGAUCUAUGCCUACCGGGGGAAGGUCCCCGUGGUAAUCAGUUACAGGCCUGCCAAAGGUGCCCAGCAACCAGAUACUCUGUCCAUUGCUAGUCACGCCUCCCUACCAAAUAUAUGGACGGCUUGGCAAGCCAUAACCCCGCUAGUGGAAGAACUGAAUGUACUGCUUCAAGAAUGGCCAGGCCUGUACUACACUGUGCAUGUCCUCUGUUCCAAGUGCCUUAAAAGGGGGUCGCCCCACCCGCAUACAUUUCCAGGAGAAUUGCUGAGUCAGCCCAGGCCAGAGGGAGUGACUGAGAUCAUCUGCCCCAAGAAUGGAAAUGAGCGAGUGAACGUGGCUUUGGUAUAUCCACCAACACCAACAGUGAUCAGCCCUUGUUCCAAGUGACCUGGAAAUUGCCUGCCUUGGCCCCUAUACAUAAGGACACUCCAGCACCCUGUAAUCAAACAAGCCCUUACCAAGCAUUUUUGGAGAUAUACAGCCCAGAGAUUAUUCUGAUUUGUUUUUAGGGGCCUGGACAUCGCAACUUGGGAAAUAAAGGUAUAGUGAAAUCAGGUGUGUUGAAAGCUACACAUUGGACUGGGCACAGUUCUAAAGUCUGGCUGGAACUGAUCCUUAACACCAUUCAUGGGUUGGAGUUGUGCAUCCACAAGAACUCUCUGCAGCAGUUUGCUGAAGCAGGCAGUGCAGUGAAGAGUCCCCAUCCUAAACUUUCCUUGAACUUUUGCGUUCACUCUGCUCUGAAGCCUCCAGAUGGUUGUAAUAGCCUCGCCAUGGCGGCGAUGCUCUGGGACUGAGAAAUCUACAGACCUGUAUUGUGCACUUGUUUGGACCUGUUGAUGAAUGUAAGAUUGUGCUGUUGUCAUUCAGAUGUACCCGAAAGGAAUAUCUACUGAAAAGGAAAUAUUAAAAACUUCCUAUGGCUAUUCCCAUGCAGUUUUCCCAUAGGAAGAAGCUAACACUUCUGUGGCUGCGUUGUGCUGUAGAAAAGGACACAGGAUCAAAACUGGAAGACACCUCUUCUUCUGAAGGAUACUUUCCCAGGGACUGAACACAUAACUUAACAAACCCAAAACUGAAACAAUUUUUAAAGUAAUAUAUUAACAUGCAGAAGAAAGAUGGACUUGGAAGACUCAUCGCUUGACCUUCAGCCUCAGGAUCAUCCUCUAACAAAGAGCUGCUUGCCAGCCAACAGAAUGGGUUGAAAUGCUUCUCAGGGAUUAUGUUCAUUGUGUAGUUGAAAAAGCAACAACUGCAGUCACAAUCUGGGGUACUCCGUUUUCAAGUCUGUCUAAUGUGAAAAGAGGGGUCACUUUGCUAAGUUCACUGCUGUUCAGUGUGGUUGUUUGGGUUUUUUUUAAAGCAUCAAUCUUUAUUUUUGUAAUAUGCAAGUUUUUAAUUAUCUAUGCAGUUUAAAGUUUGAGUUCAUACUGGGUACAAAGUGAAGCAUGGAGAUUGUGCUAGACCGCUGCUGGGUCCUUAACUUUGUUGUCAAAAUAACGCAUGUAUGUAUCAUCACCGUUAAAAUAUCACACACCCUUACACAAUAUAUACGUCAGUUUUCACUGCAUUUAUUGUACAGACUGCUUCACCAACAGUAGCACAGAUUCUUCUGGGAUUGCCUUCACGUUCCCAGCUGGAAAUUCCUGGUUUGCAAAGGUUGAGAUACAAAAUCUAGUAUGGCAGGCAGUCCACUACAUCAUUGGCUGGCUUUUUAUAGUGCUAGAUUGGAGGAUGUCCUUUCGUUUGAGAGCCACAACACAACAGGAACGAGAAGGGCUGUAGCACAAGUUGAAAACUAAUUUGUGGCAGAUCCAUAUGGUGGAGAGCAGCAAAGCAAUCCUGAAAUCAUGCAUUCCAGAAAGUCCCCCUGGGAAAACAAGCCAGGGAACAAAACUGAGCCAGCAGCAGGAUUGAAGGCAGACAUCUCUCAGCACUAUAGUGCCACUGACAUCUUUAAGAACUGUUAAGUUUCAGAGGCUAUUUGCAAAUAAUGGGCAGCCCUGAAUCGGGGGGUUACCAUGGUAAAUUGCAACAAAGAGUAAGCUUUCUCCUGAAAUGGACUGGGCUUUGUUUUGGUAUAUUUAAAUCUGGAAUCAGAAAACUAGCAAGAUUAGCAUUUCUGAUUAUAACAGAUUUUACCCUCUCCAGUUGUUUGUUGCUCUUGACCAUGAAUCACAUCAACAAGUCAACUGAUUUGAAUCAUCCCAGGGUUGAUGAUCCAUGUUUUGUAGAAUGCUGCAGCUUAGUUUCAAAAGACGAAAGUCGGUGCACCUUCAGUGGUACCUGAGUAGUGGAACUUCUGAUCUCUCAUAGUGGUUUUACAGCUCUCUGGUAACAUUAACAACUUUGCCCACUGUGGUUAAAGGAGAUUGUAUUAAUGCGUCCUAGACAGGAAAGAUGGAAGUGUGAUACGUGCCAUUGCGAUUCUAUGUAGCAAUGCAUUUGGAAGUGUUUAACCUUAAUAGAUUGGUUUGGAACCAACUAUAGAAAAGCAACAAUCUUAUGAAUAGUUCCACACUUAAAAUGUUAAGGUGUUACUCUGACACUUAACCUAAACAACCAUUGUGUUUGAUUUAAUGAGAUCAAAAAUGGAACUUGCAUAAUCUACAAACAUGUCUUAGGUCAACAAUGAGAUUUUAAAUCCUAAUAGUUAAUUUCUGUUGUUGAAAUCUGGUAUUUUCUCUAGGGCAGUCCAAUUGACAACUCUGCAGAUUUCUGGCUAUUUCUAAUUGCACUUUUCUGUCUGUUGGAUCUUGUGGGUGAUUUCAGAUCUACAGUAGGAAUUCAAGUGGAGUCUUCUGAGAGACUGGUUGGCUUUUCAGUUUGCAUUCCUGAUGGCUAGUUAGUAUUAAGGAUUGAUAAGAGUUUCACAGAUUUCAGUGAACUUCAUUUUAAUGAAACUGACCAAGCAUCUGAAAUACACUGUUUUAGAUUUGUCUUAAAUUGGAUCCAACCAAUUUGGUCAUUCUCUGGUAAAGUGCCAAAACAGUAAUACUGGUGGUGGUUACCAUUUUCAGAUUACUGAACUUCUGCCAGAAACUUUAUGGGAUAAUCCAUAGAAUUAAGAUGAAGUAUCCAGAUAUACUCCUCCUUUGAUACAACUUUCCAGAUAACGUUAUGGUCACCCUCAAUUUGUCAUGUCACCCAAUCUUUGGGCCACCUGCAAAGGCCAGUUUUCACCCGUGAUUCAAGAUUUAUCCAUUCCCUACUGGAAUUCUAGAACUUUGGUUCCUGCUUGGUUGGGGACCAUAAAGACAUUCGGCAUCAUUGUGCAGUAGGGGCAGAGGCCAAACUUUUGUUUCCAUAUAUGAAAACAUUUAAGAAAACACAAUUAAAAAAUCCUUCUUGGCUAUGUGCCCACCUGGAGAGAGGAAGGAUGGCUAGGUCACAAUGGGAUCCUGCUGGGAUGGCAUCAGUGGAAGGCCUUUGCCAAUUUUCCUGAAAAGAGGAUGAGGUUUUUGCUUCAUUAGGUGCACACACAGACACACACACAGUCAUUCAAGCAGUUCCUUUUAAAAUGGCUGGAGAACUGCCCUUGGAAUCAGUCAUGUUUUCUAUUCCUAGGUUUGGUGGCAGGAAAAGCAGUUUCCUGGAUUUCCAUUGCAGUGCUGCCAAAAUGAAUAUUGGUAUUCAGUUCCUCAAAAGGUUUGACCUGACUUUCUGAUUCACUUCUGAAAGGCCGCGACAGGGGUGUUCGUAUUACACAAAUGAGACUUUGGUCAGCAAAGGCUGUGGGACUUUACUUAUGGCUGUCUGUCACUCCAUAUUACAGGCAUUUUUUUUUUACAAAUAAAACCCCCUAUUCUCACCAAACACAAACCUGAGAAUAAAAAUAAUCUUUAAAUUU